RNAcentral lists this ribosomal RNA (424 nucleotides) under uncultured prokaryote. Its description in RNAcentral is "bacterial SSU rRNA". It matches the Rfam family "Bacterial small subunit ribosomal RNA", at positions 355 to 796 of the family's 1533-position model. The record is from RNAcentral.
UGGGGAAUAUUGGGCAAUGGGCGAAAGCCUGACCCAGCCAUGCCGCGUGGGUGAAGAAGGUCCUAGGAUUGUAAAGCCCUUUCAGCGGGGAAGAUGAUGACGGUACCCGCAGAAGAAGCCCCGGCUAACUCCGUGCCAGCAGCCGCGGUAAGACGGAGGGGGCUAGCGUUGUUCGGAAUUACUGGGCGUAAAGGGCGUGUAGGCGGAUCAGUCAGUCAGGGGUGAAAUCCCUGGGCUCAACCCAGGAACUGCCUUUGAUACUGCUGAUCUAGAGUCCGGGAGAGGAUCGUGGAAUUCCCAGUGUAGAGGUGAAAUUCGUAGAUAUUGGGAAGAACACCAGUGGCGAAGGCGGCGAUCUGGACCGGUACUGACGCUGAGGCGCGAAAGCGUGGGGAGCAAACAGGAUUAGAUACCCCCGUAGUCC